This 129-nucleotide ribosomal RNA is filed under the name Penstemon pruinosus. RNAcentral's name for it is "partial 5.8S ribosomal RNA". It matches the Rfam family "5.8S ribosomal RNA", at positions 30 to 154 of the family's 154-position model. Rfam says of the family: 5.8S ribosomal RNA (5.8S rRNA) is a component of the large subunit of the eukaryotic ribosome. It is transcribed by RNA polymerase I as part of the 45S precursor that also contains 18S and 28S rRNA. Functionally, it is thought that 5.8S rRNA may be involved in ribosome translocation. The record is from RNAcentral. Lineage: Eukaryota; Viridiplantae; Streptophyta; Magnoliopsida; Lamiales; Plantaginaceae.
GCAUCGAUGAAGAACGUAGCGAAAAUGCGAUACUUGGUGUGAAUUGCAGAAUCCCGUGAACCAUCGAGUCUUUGAACGCAAGUUGCGCCCGAAGCCAUUAGGCCGAGGGCACGUCUGCCUGGGCGUCAC